UUCCCUUUUUCUUUGAUUUUCUUUUAAUUCCUCUUAUAGAAAGAAGACACUAGAUCAUGAUGAAGUACUGUUUAGGACGACUGUAAAGACGUCGACAAUGCAUGCCAAUGGAUUUUGCAGCAGCAGAUCAGGAGGCUGGCUUUAAAUUAGGGUCACUGCUGGCUGAUCGGCUAUGCCUAGAGAUGCAAUCUAGCAGCAGCAUAUCAACACUUGGUGACACUUGUUCAACGGCCAAGGAUUGAUCAAGAUAAAAUCGUCUUCCUCACUCCCAACUUUCAACAUUCCCAUGCAUCCAUGGAGAUCAGAGAUCUCAUGUAUCCCAUGUCGCUUUGAGUAGUAGGCCAUUAGAAAUCCUGCAGGAAAAACCUAAUUAUGGAGUGCCAAAAAAGUUGAAGCAUGCACGUCCUGAUCCUAAUAAGCAGCGCCUUGGGAAAACUACUUGGGCCGAUAAGGAUGAUAAUCAUGAUCAGAAGAAAUGCAAAAGCCGGAUGAAGAAGAAGAAGAAGAAGGGACUUUCACCAAAUCGGCCACGCUUGAAAAUAUUUGGCUGUUAAUCAUCUAUCUAUU
Juglans regia (Persian walnut) is the source of this 567-nucleotide long non-coding RNA. RefSeq lists it as uncharacterized. The record is from RefSeq and is a predicted model, not a curated record. The transcript has 3 exons. Lineage: Eukaryota; Viridiplantae; Streptophyta; Magnoliopsida; Fagales; Juglandaceae.